GGGCCCGCACAAGCGGCGGAGCAUGCGGAUUAAUUCGAUGCAACGCGAAGAACCUUACCAAGGCUUGACAUAUAGAGGAAAAGUGCAGAAAUGCACUCCCCGCAAGGUCUCUAUACAGGUGGUGCAUGGUUGUCGUCAGCUCGUGUCGUGAGAUGUUGGGUUAAGUCCCGCAACGAGCGCAACCCUCGUCCUAUGUUGCCAGCACGUAAUGGUGGGAACUCAUGGGAUACUGCCGGGGUCAACUCGGAGGAAGGUGGGGAUGACGUCAAAUCAUCAUGCCCCUUAUGUCUUGGGCUUCACGCAUGCUACAAUGGCCGGUACAGAGGGCUGCAAUACCGCAAGGUGGAGCGAAUCCCAAAAAGCCGGUCUCAGUUCGGAUUGAGGUCUGCAACUCGACCUCAUGAAGUCGGAGUCGCUAG
RNAcentral lists this ribosomal RNA (419 nucleotides) under uncultured bacterium. Its description in RNAcentral is "bacterial SSU rRNA". It matches the Rfam family "Bacterial small subunit ribosomal RNA", at positions 917 to 1338 of the family's 1533-position model. The record is from RNAcentral.